RNAcentral lists this long non-coding RNA (218 nucleotides) under Mytilus galloprovincialis (Mediterranean mussel). The record is from RNAcentral. Lineage: Eukaryota; Metazoa; Mollusca; Bivalvia; Mytilida; Mytilidae.
CAAAAAACAGACUAAAUUAUGUCCUACAUUUCCGGUAACCAGAAAUACCAAAUAGAGGUAUAUAACAUCCCCCGCCCAAAUAUAAAAUUUGAAAAAUUUUGGUCUGGUCACUGGAAAUGCAGACAGCAAUAUAACAUAAUACAAUAAUAAUAAUAAAAAAUACAUUUCAAAUUUGUAUACACCCUUUCUCACUCUGGCAUUACUAACUCCGUACAUGG